AGAACGAACGCUGGCGGCAGGCUUAACACAUGCAAGUCGAGCGCCCCGCAAGGGGAGCGGCAGACGGGUGAGUAACGCGUGGGAACAUACCCUCCGGUUCGGAAUAGCUCAGGGGAAACUUGGAUUAAUACCGGAUACGGCCUAGCGGCGAAAGAUUGAUCGCCGGAGGAUUGGCCCGCGUCUGAUUAGCUAGUUGGUGGGGUAAUGGCCCACCAAGGCGACGAUCAGUAGCUGGUCUGAGAGGAUGAUCAGCCACAUUGGGACUGAGACACGGCCCAAACUCCUACGGGAGGCAGCAGUGGGGAAUAUUGGACAAUGGGCGCAAGCCUGAUCCAGCCAUGCCGCGUGAGUGAUGACGGCCUUAGGGUUGUAAAGCUCUUUCGCUAGGGACGAUAAUGACGGUACCUAGACAAGAAGCCCCGGCUAACUCGUGCCAGCAGCCGC
This 444-nucleotide ribosomal RNA is filed under the name uncultured bacterium. RNAcentral's name for it is "SSU rRNA". It matches the Rfam family "Bacterial small subunit ribosomal RNA", at positions 26 to 518 of the family's 1533-position model. The record is from RNAcentral.